RNAcentral lists this RNase P RNA (372 nucleotides) under Puniceicoccales bacterium. RNAcentral describes it as "RNase P RNA component class A". It matches the Rfam family "Bacterial RNase P class A". Rfam says of the family: Ribonuclease P (RNase P) is a ubiquitous endoribonuclease, found in archaea, bacteria and eukarya as well as chloroplasts and mitochondria. Its best characterised activity is the generation of mature 5'-ends of tRNAs by cleaving the 5'-leader elements of precursor-tRNAs. Cellular RNase Ps are ribonucleoproteins. Lineage: Bacteria; Pseudomonadati; Verrucomicrobiota; Opitutia; Puniceicoccales. The record is from RNAcentral.
CUCUGAGGGAGAGAUGUUCGCUUCGGCCGCUGGGACGAAGAGGAAAGUCCGGACACCGGAGAGCAGAAUGCCCUGCGAAAGCGGGGGUAUGUGGGUUCAAGCUCACGUAACGGCCAGUGCAACAGAAAAGAUACCGCCUUCGGGUAAGGGUGAAAAGGUGCGGCAAGAGCGCACCGCGCCUGAAGUGAUUCAGGUGGCUGUGUAAACCCCAUUCGGUGCAAGACGGAAUAGGAGAUAGAGUGGCUCGCUCGUUAGAAAUCUCGGGUUCGUCGCACUCCUGAUCGGGAGAAGUUUUGAAAAUCUUCAGAACUUAGAGAAAUGAACAUCGGGGUCUUGGACCCCAACAGAAUCCGGCUUACCCCUCAGAGAUUU